UUGGAGGGCAAGUCUGGUGCCAGCAGCCGCGGUAAUUCCAGCUCCAAUAGCGUAUAUUAAAGUUGUUGCAGUUAAAAAGCUCGUAGUUGAAUUUCGGGGUUCUACCGUUGGUCGGGCUUUGUCUGUACUGGUGUGUAGAAUUUCUACCUUCUGGGGAACCAUCAUGCUAUUAAUUUAGCGUGGUGGGAAACCAGGACCUUUACCUUGAAAAAAUUAGUGUGUUCAAAGCAGGCUUAUGUCUGAAUACAUUAGCGUGGAAUAAUAGAAUAGGACGGUGGUCCUGUUUUGUUGGUUUCUGAAUCACCGUAAUGAUUAAUAGGGAUAGUUGGGGGCAUUAGUAUUCAAUUGUCAGAGGUGAAAUUCUUGGAUUUACUGAAGACUAACUUCUGCGAAAGCAUUUGCCAAGGAUGUUUUCAUUAAUCAAGAACGAAAGUUAGGGGAUCGAAGACGAUCAGAUACCGUCGUAGUCUUAACCAUAAACUAUGCCGACUAGGGAUCGGACGAUGUUAAUUUUUCUUGACUCGUUCGGCGCCUUACGGGAAAC
RNAcentral lists this ribosomal RNA (544 nucleotides) under uncultured Glomeromycotina. RNAcentral's name for it is "SSU rRNA". It matches the Rfam family "Eukaryotic small subunit ribosomal RNA", at positions 548 to 1098 of the family's 1831-position model. Lineage: Eukaryota; Fungi; Glomeromycota. The record is from RNAcentral.